RNAcentral lists this small nucleolar RNA (181 nucleotides) under Saccharomyces arboricola H-6. RNAcentral's name for it is "Small nucleolar RNA snR85". It matches the Rfam family "Small nucleolar RNA snR85". Lineage: Eukaryota; Fungi; Ascomycota; Saccharomycetes; Saccharomycetales; Saccharomycetaceae. The record is from Rfam by way of RNAcentral.
CACUAGCACAUAUGUCAAAUUCCUAAUUAACGUUUAAUUUUUUAUAUCCAUCGUUUCUUAGAGCCGUAAUUGUGCUGAUAUCAACUCCAGGGAAGGACACACAGCAAGUAUUUGCUGGGUCCGUGUUACGCCCACGAUGCAUCCUCAGCUGUGGGCGUGCUUGGAUCUUCUUCCCAUAUAC